UACGGAGGGUGCGAGCGUUAUUCGGAAUUACUGGGCGUAAAGCGCGUGUAGGCGGGGGGACAAGUCAGAUGUGAAAGCCCUGGGCUUAACCUCGGAAUCGCAUUGGAAACUGGUUUUCUUGAGUACUGGAGAGGAAGGGGGAAUUUCCGGUGUAGAGGUGAAAUUCGUAGAGAUCGGGAGGAAUACCAGUGGCGUAGGCGCCCUUCUGGACGGUAACUGACGCUGAGACGCGAAAGCGUGGGGAGCAAACAGG
This 253-nucleotide ribosomal RNA is filed under the name uncultured prokaryote. RNAcentral describes it as "partial 16S ribosomal RNA". It matches the Rfam family "Bacterial small subunit ribosomal RNA", at positions 524 to 776 of the family's 1533-position model. The record is from RNAcentral.